This 528-nucleotide unclassified non-coding RNA is filed under the name Hevea brasiliensis (rubber tree). Lineage: Eukaryota; Viridiplantae; Streptophyta; Magnoliopsida; Malpighiales; Euphorbiaceae. The record is from RNAcentral.
AAGAAGAAGAAGAAGAAGAUGAUUAGAUGAUGAUGAUAAUGAAGACAUGGCUGGGCUGCUGUAAGUUUUGAGAGUGCUACUUAAAUUAGGUUUAGCGUGUGUGUGUAGGGUUAAAAUGCAUCACUUCAAAGUUCAAAAUGCAGCACUUCAACUAAGGUUAAAGUCCGUUCGGUUCGAUUAGUUUUUUUUAUGAAUUAACUGAACAAAACCGAAAUAUUGAAAUUUUUAGAAAUAUAUAACCGAACCACACCAAUUGGAUGGAAAACUGCACACCCCUGGCUAGCAAUACACAGAUGGAAGUUUACUCAUUUUGCAUGAGAAAUACAAAUUAGCGACCACAAUGGGAUUUAACAAGUUAUGUGAUUGCAUAUGAAAGUAAGUCUCACUUUUCUUAUUGCUGGUCUUGUUGUUCAAGGCUUAGUUACCAUAUACUGGUUUACUACACCUGCAAGUUAGCGCCUUUUUGCAUAUUAGGCUCUUAUGAAUGACUUGUUUGUUGGGCAUAGUUAUUAAAGGGCCAAAGCGAGG